Molecule: ribosomal RNA, 253 nt
Filed under: uncultured bacterium
Lineage: Bacteria
Description: partial 16S ribosomal RNA
Rfam family: Bacterial small subunit ribosomal RNA
Source: RNAcentral
UACGAAGGUGGCAAGCGUUGUUCGGAAUCAUUGGGCGUAAAGCGAACGUAGGCGGAUUUGUAAGUCGAUUGUGAAAACCCUGGGCUCAACCCGGGACGUGCAGUCGAAACUGCAAGUCUUGAAUGCUCGAGAGGAUGGUGGAAUUCCUGGAGUAGAAGUGAAAUUCGUAGAUAUCAGGAGGAACACCGGAGGCGAAGGCGGCCAUCUGGCGAGACAUUGACGCUAAGGUUCGAAAGCGCGGGUAGCAAACAGG